RNAcentral lists this ribosomal RNA (301 nucleotides) under uncultured bacterium. RNAcentral's name for it is "partial 16S ribosomal RNA". It matches the Rfam family "Bacterial small subunit ribosomal RNA", at positions 509 to 807 of the family's 1533-position model. The record is from RNAcentral.
CAGUAGCCGCGGGAAAACGAAGGGUGCAAGCGUUACUCGGAAUUACUGGGCGUAAAGCGUGCGUAGGUGGUGGUUUAAGUCCGUUGUGAAAGUCCUGGGCUCAACCUGGGAAUUGCAGUGGAUACUGGGUCACUAGAGUGUGGUAGAGGAUAGUGGAAUUUCCGGUGUAGCAGUGAAAUGCGUAGAGAUCGGAAGGAACAUCUGUGGCGAAGGCGACUAUCUGGGCCAACACUGACACUGAGGCACGAAAGCGUGGGGAGCAAACAGGAUUAGAUACCCCCGUAGUCCCUGUCUCUUAUAC